This 70-nucleotide transfer RNA is filed under the name Pseudoryx nghetinhensis (saola). RNAcentral describes it as "tRNA-His". It matches the Rfam family "tRNA". Rfam says of the family: Transfer RNA (tRNA) molecules are approximately 80 nucleotides in length. Their secondary structure includes four short double-helical elements and three loops (D, anti-codon, and T loops). Further hydrogen bonds mediate the characteristic L-shaped molecular structure. tRNAs have two regions of fundamental functional importance: the anti-codon, which is responsible for specific mRNA codon recognition, and the 3' end, to which the tRNAs corresponding amino acid is attached (by aminoacyl-tRNA synthetases). tRNAs cope with the degeneracy of the genetic code in two manners: having more than one tRNA (with a specific anti-codon) for a particular amino acid; and 'wobble' base-pairing, i.e. permitting non-standard base-pairing at the 3rd anti-codon position. The record is from RNAcentral. Lineage: Eukaryota; Metazoa; Chordata; Mammalia; Artiodactyla; Bovidae.
GUAGAUAUAGUUUAAUAAAAACAUUAAAUUGUGAAUCUAAUGAUAGAAGUCCAUAACCUUCUUAUCUACC